RNAcentral lists this ribosomal RNA (404 nucleotides) under Fusobacteriota bacterium. RNAcentral describes it as "Fusobacteria bacterium partial 16S ribosomal RNA". It matches the Rfam family "Bacterial small subunit ribosomal RNA", at positions 355 to 776 of the family's 1533-position model. The record is from RNAcentral. Lineage: Bacteria; Fusobacteriati; Fusobacteriota.
UGGGGAAUAUUGCACAAUGGAGGGAACUCUGAUGCAGCGACGCCGCGUGAGUGAUGAAGGAAUUCGUUUCGUAAAACUCUUUUCUAUGGGAAGAAAAGGACUGUACCAUAGGAGAAAGUUCCGGCUAAAUACGUGCCAGCAGCCGCGUUAAUACGUAUGGAGCGAGCGUUGUCCGGAAUUAUUGGGCGUAAAGGGUGCGCAGGCGGCUUUACAAGUUGGAUGUGAAAUAUUGUGGCUCAACCACAAACGUGCAUCCAAAACUGCAAAGCUUGAGUUAAGGAGAGGUAAGUGGAAUUCCUGGUGUAGCGGUGGAAUGCGUAGAUAUCAGGAGGAAUACCGGUGGCGAAGGCGACUUACUGGACUUAAACUGACGCUCAGGCACGAAAGCGUGGGGAGCAAACAGG